RNAcentral lists this ribosomal RNA (762 nucleotides) under uncultured bacterium. Its description in RNAcentral is "bacterial SSU rRNA". It matches the Rfam family "Bacterial small subunit ribosomal RNA", at positions 8 to 796 of the family's 1533-position model. The record is from RNAcentral.
AGAGUUUGAUCCUGGCUCAGGACGAACGCUGGCGGUGUGCUUCACACAUGCAAGUCGAACGAGGUAGCAAUACCUAGUGGCGGACGGGUGAGUAACGCGUGGGAAUCUGCCUUAAAAUGGGGGAUAGCUGGCCGAAAGGCUAAUUAAUACCGCAUAAGCCUAUAUCUCGACAGUUUUAUAGGUUAAAGGAGUAAUCCGUUUUAAGAUGAGCCCGCGUCCGAUUAGCUAGUUGGUAGGGUAACGGCCUACCAAGGCUGCGAUCGGUAGGUGGUCCGAGAGGACGAUCACCCACAAUGGAACUGAGACACGGUCCAUACUCCUACGGGAGGCAGCAGUGGGGAAUUUUGCGCAAUGGGCGAAAGCCUGACGCAGCGACACCGCGUGAGCGAAGAAGCCCUUUGGGGUGUAAAGCUCUGUCGGCUGGGAAGAAAAAAAUGACGGUACCAGCAAAGGAAGCAUCGGCUAACUACGUGCCAGCAGCCGCGGUAAGACGUAGGAUGCAAGCGUUGUCCGGAUUUAUUGGGCGUAAAGAGUUCGUAGGCGGUUUGUUAAGUCUGAUGUUAAAGAUCAGGGCUCAACCCUGGGAUUGCAUCGGAUACUGGCAGACUGGAGUGUGGUAGAGGUAAGUGGAAUUUCUGGUGUAGCGGUGAAAUGCGUAGAUAUCAGGAAGAACACCAGUGGCGUAGGCGACUUACUGGGCCAUAACUGACGCUGAGGAACGAAAGCCAGGGGAGCAAAUGGGAUUAGAUACCCCCGUAGUCC